Molecule: ribosomal RNA, 482 nt
Filed under: uncultured bacterium
Lineage: Bacteria
Description: partial 16S ribosomal RNA
Rfam family: Bacterial small subunit ribosomal RNA
Source: RNAcentral
AUUGAACGCUGGCGGCAUGCCUUACACAUGCAGGUCGAACGGUAACAGGUCUUCGGAUGCUGACGAGUGGCGAACGGGUGAGUAAUACAUCGGAACGUGCCCGAUCGUGGGGGAUAACGAGGCGAAAGCUUUGCUAAUACCGCAUACGAUCUACGGAUGAAAGCGGGGGAUCUUCGGACCUCGCGCGGCCGGAGCGGCCGAUGGCAGAUUAGGUAGUUGGUGGGAUAAAAGCUUACCAAGCCGACGAUCUGUAGCUGGUCUGAGAGGAUGAUCAGCCACACUGGGACUGAGACACGGCCCAGACUCCUACGGGAGGCAGCAGUGGGGAAUUUUGGACAAUGGGCGAAAGCCUGAUCCAGCCAUGCCGCGUGCAGGAUGAAGGCCUUCGGGUUGUAAACUGCUUUUGUACGGAACGAAAAGCCUCUUUCUAAUAAAGAGGGGUCAUGACGGUACCGUAAGAAUAAGCACCGGCUAACUACGUG